RNAcentral lists this ribosomal RNA (403 nucleotides) under uncultured bacterium. RNAcentral's name for it is "bacterial SSU rRNA". It matches the Rfam family "Bacterial small subunit ribosomal RNA", at positions 29 to 418 of the family's 1533-position model. The record is from RNAcentral.
AACGAACGCUGGCGGCGUGGAUAAGACAUGCAAGUCGAACGGGACAACAUCUGUAGCAAUACAGGUGUUGUUUAGUGGCGAACGGGUGCGUAACACGUGGGCAAUCUGCCGAGAAGUGGGGGAUAGCUCGCCGAAAGGCGAAUUAAUACCGCAUAUGAUCAGGGACGACAUCUUCCCAACAUCAAAGCCGGGGCAACCUGGCGCUUCUUGAUGAGCCCGCGGCCUANCAGCUAGUUGGUGAGGUAACGGCUCACCAAGGCUAUGACGGGUAGCUGGUCUGAGAGGACGACCAGUCACACUGGAACUGAGACACGGUCCAGACACCUACGGGUGGCAGCAGUCGAGAAUUUUUCNCAAUGGGGCAACCCUGAGGGAGCGACGCCGCGUGGAGGAUGAAGGCUUU